ACGGGAGGCAGCAGCUAAGAAUAUUCCGCAAUGGGGGAAACCCUGACGGAGCGACGCCGCGUGGAUGAUGAAGGCCGGAAGGUUGUAAAGUCCUUUUAUGGCAGAGGAAUAAGUGCGGGAGGGAAUGCCCGCAUGGUGACUGUAGGCCAUGAAUAAGCACCGGCUAAUUACGUGCCAGCAGCCGCGGUAACACGUAAGGUGCAAGCGUUGUUCGGAAUCAUUGGGCGUAAAGGGCUUGUAGGCGGCGUGUCAAGCGGAGCGUGAAAUCACGGGGCUCAACCCCGUGGCUGCGCUGCGAACUGGCAUGCUGGAGUCGCUGAGGGGGAACCGGAAUUCCUGGUGUAGGGGUGAAAUCUGUAGAUAUCAGGAAGAACACCGAUGGCGAAGGCAGGUUUCCAGCAGACGACUGACGCUGAGGAGCGAAGGUGCGGGGAGCAAACAGGAUUAGAUACCCUGGUA
This 459-nucleotide ribosomal RNA is filed under the name uncultured Treponema sp. Its description in RNAcentral is "partial 16S ribosomal RNA". It matches the Rfam family "Bacterial small subunit ribosomal RNA", at positions 341 to 792 of the family's 1533-position model. The record is from RNAcentral. Lineage: Bacteria; Pseudomonadati; Spirochaetota; Spirochaetia; Treponematales; Treponemataceae.